CUUCAAGGGACUUGUAUGGUCCAUUAGCUGAAACUAGUUCUUCUUUAGGCUGUAAUCUUUGUUGUGGGAUUUGAUUAAUCUUGUCAUGAUCAUCCUUCAAUAGUGCCCAAUCAAAGAUGUUCAUAUUCUCCUUCAGUCUUUCUUUCCUAAAGCUCUUAACUACAAAACUUGUUCCUUGCUCAUACGCCCAUCGCAGACAAACCUGAGCAACAGUCUUGCCACGAGUCUUUGCAAUCUCAUUUAGUACUUCAUUGUCCAUGACUAAACUGCUGCCCCAGCGAGUCCCCUUUGCUCCUAGAGGAGAGUAAGCAGUUACUAUGAUGUCAUUAGCCUUGCAGAAUUCUCUAAGCUUCUUCUGUUGCCAGAGAGGGCUCAUCUCCACCUACAGAACUCACCAUCCAUUUCUGGGUUUUCAAUACUGCAUAAUAUAGCAAAUUGACACAUAAUUUAAGAGAAAUGAAAAUAAAAAAAAAAUACUUGAUUUACUGCAGGAGGGAUAUUAGCGAAGGCAAGUAAGUGUUCAAGCUUCUUGCAAGAAAAGUUGCUGACUCCAAUGGCCUUUGUAAGGCCAAGCUGUUGGCACUCUUCCAUGGCUGCCCACACAGACUUGAAGUCCAUUGGCAGAAGCUCGUCCUUAGGCACUGGGAACAUCAAUCUUCCAGGCUUAAAACUGAUGGGCCAGUGGAUCAAAUAAAGGUCUAGAUACUCCAGUUGAAGAGUCCUGUGCACAAUUAGUUCUAUACAUAAUCUAGACUAGUUAUCAGGACAAGCAUAGGCAAAUAAAAGCUGAAAUUAUGGGUUUAUUUUGCAGUGAGCCAAAACCAAUUCAAUUUUAAAGGGGUUGAUUCCUCACAACUCGCAAGCCUAUCAAUUACUCAAUCCAUUUUUUAAUCAGCAAAUAUCGAUUAAGAUCAAAAGGUUACCAAAUCUGGUAAGUUAUGCAGCAAAAUUUAUAGUGCUCAAGUUGCUUAUAUGGUAAUGUACAGUAAUAGACAGAAAAAAAAAAUGGUAGGAUCUCUUUCUUGCCUGAGGGAAUUCUUUAGAGCAGGCAUGACAAGAUCGCUGUGAGCAUCGCAGCACCAAAGCUUAGAAGUGAUGAAGAGCUCGUCUCGAGAACCAAUAAGGCCAAGUGUAAGCGCUUCAGCUAUGGCUUCUCCCACAGCUUUUUCUGAUCUGUACAGUGGAGAAGUGUCGAAGUGCCUGUAGCCAAUCUUUAUCGCCUCCAGGACCGCCGUCUUCAUCGUGGCUUCAUCGAAGGGGUCCGCCGCUGUCCCCAUGCCUAUUACCGGCAUUUCCCGGUGGCCGUAGUAGGAAGCCAGUGUCAUUUUCGGUGUUUCUGGUGCGUUGUCCAUGUCUUGAAGAGAGAAUCUUGCAAGAUUGGUGUUGGCAGCUGCAGUCUACUGUCUACGCUUCUUUUCUUUUGGCAAGGAUGAGA
RNAcentral lists this unclassified non-coding RNA (1435 nucleotides) under Hevea brasiliensis (rubber tree). The record is from RNAcentral. Lineage: Eukaryota; Viridiplantae; Streptophyta; Magnoliopsida; Malpighiales; Euphorbiaceae.